GCGAUGGUGGCAGCAGUG
RNAcentral lists this unclassified non-coding RNA (18 nucleotides) under Mus musculus (house mouse). Its description in RNAcentral is "oocyte_clustered_small_RNA5744". The record is from RNAcentral. Lineage: Eukaryota; Metazoa; Chordata; Mammalia; Rodentia; Muridae.